This 405-nucleotide ribosomal RNA is filed under the name uncultured bacterium. RNAcentral describes it as "bacterial SSU rRNA". It matches the Rfam family "Bacterial small subunit ribosomal RNA", at positions 355 to 774 of the family's 1533-position model. The record is from RNAcentral.
UGGGGAAUAUUGGGCAAUGGGCGCAAGCCUGACCCAGCAACGCCGCGUGAAGGAAGAAGGCUUUCGGGUUGUAAACUUCUUUUAUUAAGGACGAAAGAAAUGACGGUACUUAAUGAAUAAGCUCCGGCUAACUACGUGCCAGCAGCCGCGGUAAUACGUAGGGAGCAAGCGUUAUCCGGAUUUACUGGGUGUAAAGGGCGUGUAGGCGGGAGUGCAAGUCAGAUGUGAAAACUAUGGGCUCAACCCAUAGCCUGCAUUUGAAACUGUACUUCUUGAGUACUGGAGAGGCAGGCGGAAUUCCGUGUGUAGCGGUGAAAUGCGUAGAUAUACGGAGGAACACCAGUGGCGAAGGCGGCCUGCUGGACAGCAACUGACGCUGAGGCGCGAAAGCGUGGGGAGCAAACA